RNAcentral lists this long non-coding RNA (8877 nucleotides) under Olea europaea (common olive). RNAcentral describes it as "long non-coding RNA (OEUR_LNC003947)". Lineage: Eukaryota; Viridiplantae; Streptophyta; Magnoliopsida; Lamiales; Oleaceae. The record is from RNAcentral.
UCAAGGUUCUGUAUUUAUAAUAGUAAGCGACAUUCUCCUAGUGGGACUCAACUAGCUGGAUGUCCUUAUCUGUUGGAGUCCUGAAUAGUUAAGGAGUUGAUCAAAUUCCAUAAUUAUAUGUGGGAUAGAAUCCUUGCAGGAGUCAAAUAUAUGGUUGAGUUAGAGUCCUAAUUGCGUAGGAAUUCUAAAGGGUCAACAAUCGUAGGUUGUAAGGGGAGCAUAUGUUCAAGGACAAGUAUUGCAAUAUGCGAAGCAGCCAGGCGGGAUGUGGUCAACCCUAAAAUAGGAAAAGGCGGUAAAAAAUCGUAGGGGGUGGAUGUAGGACACGUGGCCAGAUCUGAGGGUCGGGGUAGUGACCUUUGGACUACCCGCUCCUGUUGCUUAUAAAUACUCUCUCCACAUUUCAUUUUUCACUUUUUACUCUCAGUAAACUUCUCUUGCUAAUCGUCGGGAUCAGAACUUUGAGUUUUUAGGCGUCGACUUUAAGGUAAGACCUCGAGUUUUUAAGUUAUUCUUUAGGCACUUUUUUACCUAAGUCAGGAUGUCUAGCAAUAAUAGUACUGAGUCUUCGUCCACCUUCUCGAGGAGUACUCCCAAGGACAUAGUAUGCUCGAUCAUACCUAUGGCCGUCCCAAUUAAUGCCCAACCUCGGGCACAAAGUAUCCCGACCCCCUUUAGGUACCUCGAGGUUCCUUUUAAAUUUAAAGAGCAUCUAGCAAUAUCGACGGCUAGGGAGCAUGGGCUCAUGCCAAAAUGUGAUAUUAGGACGCCAAGGGUAGAGGAUAGGAUGGUCUUUGCUCGAGAUGGAGAGUUUGUGAUUUUUAGGGACUCACUAAAGGGGGGAUUUAGAUGGCCUCUGCAUUCCUUUUUUAUGUCUUUAUUGGUCGAGCAUAACAUGAGCCUUGGACAGCUUGUGCCAAAGGGGUGGAGGAUGCUCACCUAUUUUUUUAUAGCUAGUAGAUACCUAGGAAUUAACCCAUACGUCGAUCUCUGUAGAAUGGUCUUCGACCUAAAACAGUUACCUUAACAUACCUGUUUUGCUUACCUUUCAUCCCGAGGAGGCUUUAGAUUGCCGAGGAUGCCCAGGUCAUUGAAAGGAUGGAAAAAAAAGUGGUUUUAUGUCGCACCUCAGGAUAGUGACCUUCCUUUUAGUCCUAGGUGGGUUUUGCCUGAUACUCCCAGGUUUUGUAAAGGCCAGGCCUAUUUUGAGUCUUUAGAAAGGCAUAGGAUGAUGUUAGAGAACCUCGAGCUUUUUGUAUAUGAUAUAGAUGACAUCCUCGGGGAUGACGUUCUCGAUCUCGCGGAUGUGAAAGGUACUGAAGGUAGGGAUCAUCUUUUUGCCUUCUUCCUUACUGAUCUGUCUUUGAACGUAUAAUUGUGCUCAUGUCAAUGACUUGCUUUUUGCAGAGAUGACUUUUGAUCCUUCAGCCCUCAAAUAGGCCGUGAACAAAAAGUCGAAAGCCCCUCAAGCUCGAGCUCCAUGUCAAAAGAGAGGGAAGAAGAGAGCUCGAGAUUCAGGCCCCGAGAAUAUUAGGAGUGGGCCAGGGAAACCUUCUGCCCGAGGACAAUCCCCGACCAUACAGGCCAAUGAGACUCCAACUGCCCCACCUCGAUCACGUCCUCAGCCAAGGUGUACCCCCGAGGUUGUUGACCUCGAGGAUGAGGUCCCACCUAUGCCCUCGUUCCAAAAUCAAGAUCCUGGUGUCCAGCAUCGUGGAAAAGUAUCCAAAGGACCUCGAUUUUGAUGAGGGUAUGAAUGCUCUUGAAUCUCUCACUCUGAAGGUAAGGUCGCUCAACUUACUUGGUGUAAUUUAUGGGUUUAUACGAUGUGAUUGCUUUAAGCUGGGGUUUAUAUGAUGCAGGCUCUGAGCAUUGCCCAAGGUCUUUCUCUGAAGGGGAAAGACGAGGCACAAAAAACUACUGAGCUCGAGGACACUUCUCAAGCACAUGAGAAGAGGAUAGCCGACUUGGAAGCUGAGCGCUUCCUUCUCCAGAGGGAGCUCGAGGACUCGAAGAACGACGUCUAGAGAGCUCGGGAAGAGACUGGAGCUGCCAUGGGCGAGGCCGAGGAUUUAAAGCUCGAGAUCGAGCGUUUGAAGAUUGAUUUCGAAACUCGCCUAGCUGAAGCUCGAGGGGUUACAAUCAAGGAUUUCAAAAUGUCCGAGGAGUUCAACUGGCUUAAGGGAAAGUACGCCAUGGGCUCAUACUUCCACGCUUUCAAAGAGGCUCGGGCAUUUUUGAGGUCAAAGCCUGACGUCAAACCCGAGGAUUUAAAGAACAUCCCUGAGAUUGCUGAUGACCUCGAGCUUUCAGAGUCUGAGGAAAUCGUCAAAGACCAUGAGGUCGAUAUUGACGGCAAGGAUGUGGUGGAAGAACAGGGGAGCACGACCUCGGGAGAAAGAGCCGAGGACCUAGAUUAGUUUAUGUUUUUUCUCAGACAUCCCCCUUUUUUUGUAUUUUGAACAAGUAUUCUGCUCGAUCUUAGAUAAUGUUCCAUUUAUGGUAUUUUGCUCAAUCAAGUAUUUUUCAUUUUACGCGAUUAUGUAUGGCUGAUGUCUCGAUCAUGACAAACUCAAAUAGCUCGACGUUAAGAUGGUUCAAUAACUUGACGCCUAAGAUGAAUUGACAACUCGACGCCUAGAUUAAUAAAAUAUCUUGAGGACUCAAUUUGUAAAAUCAUUUUUGAACAUCAAGUGUUGAACUCGAGCAUGUAGACAAGUUAUCCCGAGGACUCAAUUUGUAAAAUCAUUUUUGAACAUCAAGUGUUGAACUCGAGCAUGUAGACAAGUUAUCCCGAGGACUCAAUUGUAAAAUCAUUUUUGAACAUCAAGUGUUGAACUCGAGCAUGCAUGACGACGUAAUUGUACCGACCUAUAGCGUGUUCCCGAGGACUGUAAAUGGCCUUUUUAUAAGAUCUCUCAUACCAUUGAUCGGGCACUGUGUGAUCGGGAAUGUUACUUGACGUGCUUGUGUGGUACGAGGCUUUUUUGAUUGCUUACGCGGGGCAACGCUUUUUUUAUUGCUUGAGCAAGGCAAGGCUUGAGUUGCUUGCGCGGGGCAAGGCUUUUUGUAGCUAGAUCAUAUUUUGACGAAUUGCUUAAUUCUUAUUAUACUUUAAAAACAGACUUGGCACGCAGGCCUGACAACUAAAAACGUGAACCUUGGCCGCAGGCCUGACUACCGAAAAAUAAAACUUGGCACGCAGGCCUGACAAUUGAAAACAUGAACCUUGAUGCGCAAGCCUAACUACCAAAGAAAUAAAACUUGGCAAGCAGGCCUGACAAUUGAAAACGUGAACUUGAUGCGCAAGCCUCACUACGGAUAACUGGAAGACCAAGUUACUUGUAAUAUAUCUUUAAAUUCUCGGCGUUCCAUGGUCUGGGAAGCGGCCUUCCUGACGUAUCCCUUAAAUUGUAUGCGCCUCCUUGGAGUUGUCGUAUGACUUCGAAGGGCCCUUCCCAAACUGGUCCUAGCUUGCCCGAGGCAUGACCUGCUGCUUCAGCCCUUCUUAACACAAGGUCUCCGCCUCUAAAUCUCCGCGUCCUUACUUUUUUAUUGAAGUACUUUGCUGUUUUAUCCUGGUAGGAGGCCAUUUUUAAAGCUGCCCGAUCCCAAACUUCUUCCAAAAGGUCGAGAUGUUCAGUUGUGCACCCUACAUCUUUGGGCUCGAGCCUCCUUUGGCUGGGCAACCUGACUUCAACAGGUAUGGUGGCCUCAAUUCCAAAAGCCAACAUGAAGGGGGUUUCCCCUGUAGUAGUUUUGUGUGACGUUCUAUACGUCCAAAGUAUGGAAGGUAACUCGUCAGAGCAGGAACCUCUUGCAUCGCCGAUCCUUGUACGGAGGUCUUACAAUAUAAUCCGAUUGGUCACUUCAACGAGACCAUUACUUUGAGGAUGGAAAAUCGACGUCAAACGGUGAUCAACCCCUAGGUCGGUACAAAAUUUUUUAAAUUGUGCAUUGUCAAACUGCCUGCCAUUAUCAGUUAUGAGGACUUUUGGUAUCCCGAACCUGCAUAUGAUGGAUCUCCAAAUGAAACUUCUUAACUUUGGCUCUGAAAUUUUUGCUAAAGGCUCGGCCUCUACCCACUUAGUGAAAUACUCUACAGCCAUAGCCACAAACUUCAAUUGUCCCCUAUUUAUUGGAAAGGGACCAAGGAUGUCAAUUCCCCACUGCUCAAAUGAGGCUAUGCAACUAAUGCUAUUGAGGUCUUCUACGGGAGGGUGGAUGACAUUGCCAAAUCUUUGGCACUUGUCACACUUCUUGACAUAUUCGUGGGCGUCUUUCUUCAUGGUUGGCCAAUAAUAUCCAUACCUUAUGAACUUGAAGGCUAAAGCCCGUGCUUCUUGAUGGUUCCCACAUACACCUUAAUGAACCUCUUCUAGGGCCUGAGAUGAUUUGGAAGGCCUAAGGCAUCUGAGGUAUGGAAGUGUGAGGCUCCUGUGAAAUAAAAUACCUUCAAUCAUGCAAUACCUCGGAGCUUUGGACCGAAUGCUUCUCGCUGCCUGAGGAUCUGCUGGAAGAUUGCCAUGUUUUAUGAAGCCCACUAUUGGGUCCAUCCAUGAUGGCUUAUUAUCAAUAUCCAUGAUGCCUACGGUUUGAUUGAUGCUUGGCUCGGUUACAAUUCUGACGUGGACUGUCUUGUCAAGCCCAUCUAUUCCCUUGAACACCAAUCUUGACAAGGCAUCUGCCCUACAAUUCUUAGCCCGAGAAAUUUUUACAAUUUCACAACUCUUGAACUUUCUCUGGAGAUCAUGCACUUUCAAGCAGUAUAAGCUCAUCUUCUCAUUCUUUCUAUUGAACGUCCCUUCGAUUUGCUCAACCACCAACUGGGAAUCACUAUAAAUUUUGAUAUUUUCAAGCUCGAGAUUUAUGGCGAGUUCCAUAGCUAUGAUGACGGCCUCAUACUCAGCUUCAUUAUUGGUCGCCUCAAAUUCGAACCUUAGUGCACACUGAAUGUUUAUGAGCAUGUCCGGACUUAUGAUUAUGACCCCUGCGCUAGAGCCCAAGGAGUUCGAUACUCCAUCUACGAAAAUUUUCCACACGGUUAUGCUUGAACUCGAGCUACUAUCUGGCCCCCGAGGCCUUGGAGUGAGUUCUGCAAUGAAGUCAGCUAAGGCCUGAGCUUUGAUAGAUGGACGGGGCUUGAACUCUAUGUCAAAUUCUCCAAGUUCAAUUGCCCACUUUAGUAAUCUUCCUGAGACGUCUAGUUUCUAAAGAAUGUGUUUCAGAGGUUGAUUGGUAAGCACAACAAUAGGAUGUGACCGAAAAUAUUGCCGAAGUUUUCAUGCCGCUACUAUCAGUGCAAGGGCAAGUUGCUCUGCCAAAGUGUAUCUUGUUUCUGCAUCACUUUGCUUACGUAAUAAAUGGGUUGCUGGCCCCUGUUAACCUCUUUCACCAAUGUCUGCUUGAGCUCUUGAAAAGCCUUCUCACACUCCUCAUUCCAUUCAAAACAAUGGUUACCCGGGCUUUGAAGAAGGGGAAGCACCUGUCUGCUGCUCGGGACAUGAACCUGUUUAAGGUGGCUAUCCUGCCUAUCAACUUUUGAACCUCUUUCUUGGUCGUUGGUGCCAAAGCCUGAAUUUUGUCGGGGUUAGCCUCAAUCCCCCAAUGAGUGAUCGUGAAACCCAGAAACUUUCCUGAAGCUACGCCAAAUACACACUUCUCUGGGUUGAGCUUCAUCUUAUAUUUUCGUAGGGUGGCGAACACCUCCUCAAGAUCGGAUAUAUGUUCCUCCACCUUCUUACUUCUUACAACCAUGUCAUCCACAUAGGCCUUGAUGUUCUUCCCUAUCAAAUCGGCGAAGACUUUGUUGAUGAGCCUUUGAUAUGUUGCCCCAGCGUUUUUCAACCCAAAUAGCAUCACCCUAUAGCAAUACAUGGCUGAAUCAGCCAUGAAUGAAGUCUUCUCUUGGUCUUCUUUGGCUAUAAGGAUUUGAUGAUACCCUGAGAAUGCAUUUAAGAAGUUGUACAGCUUAUAUCCGGAUGUGUUGUCCACAAGAUUAUCGAUCCUAGGUAGCGGGUAGCUGUCCUUUGCGCAUGCCUUAUUCAGAUCUGUGAAGUCAAUGCAGAACCUCCACUUAUCGCUGGGCUUUUUCACCAUAACAACAUUAGUGAGCCAAUCGGGGUAUUGGACUUCCCUUAUGAACCCCGCUCCCAACAAUUUGCUGACUUCUUCCUGAAUGACCACAUGUCUUUCCAGCGCAUUGUCUCUUCCUUUGCUUAACAGGUUUGGCCCCUGGGCUGAUAUUAAGUUUAUGGACAGCUAUUUCUGGGUCUAUCCCUGUCAUAUCCCCCACCUUCCAUGCAAAAACAUCAAUGUUGCGGGACAGACAACUGAUGACUUCCUCCUGGAGGUUGGCCUUCAGAUCCCGACCAAUAGUAACAACUUUUUCGUGCUCGAGCUCGACCACUUCCAAUUCCUCAACGGGGGCCAAUCUACCCCUUGCCUCGAGCUCGGGCUCGAGGUCUACCAGUUGCAUGACGUCAGCACUCAUGCCUCGGAUGCUUGUAACAUAGCACUGUCUAGCCGCCGUUUGGUCUCCUCAAACUACUCCGAUGCCAUGACCUGUGGGGAACUUCAUGGCGAGGUGGAAAGUUGACACAAUAGCCUGGAUCUUGUUCAGUGGGGGUCUUCCCAGAAUGAUGUUGUAGGCCAUUGGGGUGUUAACCACUUGGAAUGGUGUGAUUUCCGUCACUUGUGUACUGCCAACUCCUAAUGUAAGCGGGAGCUCGACGAUGCCUUCAGGGAUAAUGAUUCCACCACCAAAUCCUUAUAGGGGAGUUUUUACUGUUUUGAGCUACUUGGGAGAGAUUCCCAUUUUGGUGAAAGCCUCCUGCGACAGUAUGUUCGUGGCACUCCCAUUAUCAAUCAGAAUCCUCCUUACUUCGAAGUUAGCCACAACCGCAGAAACGACCAAGGCAUUGUCAUGAGGAUAUGAUAUUCUUUCCAAAUCUCUUGCACCAAAAGUGAUGUCUUUAACUUCAUCACUGGAUUCUCUUGGGGUAUGAACAUGUUGGCGGGCAUACUGCUUCCGCCCACUACUUGUGUCUCCACCGGAUGCUAUGCCCCCAACGAUAAUAUUAAUGGUUCCAGCAGUGGGUUGAGCACUGCUUCCAGCCCUAAGCUCUUUCCGAUUGUCCCGAUCAUUCCUUGGCCGUUUAUCAUGACCAAUGUAAUUCUUUAAAAAUCCUCUUUUGAUAAGGGCUUCAAUUUCCCGCUGUAAAGAAUGACAGUCCUCUGUAGUAUGCCCAUGAUCCCGGUGAAAUUCGCAAUACUUGCUCCUAUCUCUUGUGUCAGGGGGCGACUUCAUCCUUGAAGGCCACUUUAAUUCUUUCAUAUCCUUAAACUCCAUCAAAAUGUUUGUCUUAGAGGUGUUCAACCGAGUGAGAGGUGCUGAUGGCGCCUCGUUCCUGUGCUUAUCCCGAGGAACCUCAUGCCUAGGGACGGGAUCAUGUUGCCUUUUGUUCUAUGUCUUUUCAUGAGAAGGACCAGGUCUCCUUGGAUUUAGUGUUUCCUCCAUAUUGAAGUAUUUUUCAGCUCGGGUGAGGAGCUCAGUCACUGUCUGCGGCAGGGUCUUUGAUAAAGACAUCUUGAAAGCCUCACAUCUUACGGCAUAAGUAAGGGCGAAGACAGCUGCUGUGAUGUGGAGGUCGGGUAUUUGAAGCCUUUCCUUGUUGAACCUUAUCAUAAAUCCUCGCAGGGUUUCGGUUGGUCCCUGCGAAGUUGCAUGAGAUAGGCCACGAUCUUCCUGAUUCGCUUGCUACUUGCAAAGAAGGCUGAGAACUUAUCAGCCAAAUCUGAGAAUGAGGCUAUGGAGUUGGGCUCCAAUGUCGAGAACCAAUCCCUAGUAGCAUUAGUUAGCGUUUGUGGAAAGGGUUUGCACGUAACCUAAUCCGGUGCAACUUGCAAGUUCAUGACAUCAGUGUAUACAUUGAGAUGGUUGAUGGGGUCGGUCAUCCAAUCAUACUCUUUAAUGCGAGGAUACUUGAAUCUGUCGGGCAAGGGAUAUGUCAAUAUCUCUGGCAUGAAUGGAGUGUUAGGGGUGAAACCUGUUAACCCCCGAGCAUUACGUUGCAGGCUAGCUGUAAUUCCUUCUUGAAUGAUCCGGGCAAUUUCACCGGAAUCUAUGGCGACCGAUCUCGAGCCCGAGGCCAUAUUAUGAAUGCUCGAUGUUCCAACUCCGCCAUUUGCUGGGUUUGGUGGUCGUGCUCGAGCAUUGGCCAUAAAACCGCCAUGCUCCGCCUGCGCUGGCAACGGAUGUGAAUUUCUUUGACUUAAAAGUUGCGUGAGCGUGGCCACCUGCUGACGAAGCUCUUCAAAGGCUUCGAUUGUAAUGACUGCUGGCAGAGGUGUGGGCACUCCCGAGGAUUCUUCAUGAGGAGUCGGUUGAUCUUCGGCAGGAUGAGGGAUGGGAGCGGAUGAGCUUGCAGGAGGAAGACCUACUCACGUGUUAACCAUGGCUUUUGGUAGCGAUUCCCACAGACGGCGCCAAGAUGAUUCAGGUUGAUCACGAUCGUAGUCUUCCGAUACCUGAAACAAAGGCAACGAGGUGUGUUCUCGUCACCCCUCUGAUACUUAAGUCAGAAAGGGAAUUAUAUGCGUGAGACUAUUUAUUAGAGAAUAAUGAAAAACGUACCUGAAUAAUGGCUCAAGGUUCUAUAUUUAUAGUAGUAAGUGACAUUCUCCUAGUGGGACUCAACUAGCUGGAUGUCCUUAUCUGUUGGAGUCCUGAAUAGUUAAGGAGUUGGUCAAAUUCCAUAAUUAUAUGUGGGAUAGAAUCCUUGCAGGAGUCAUAUAUAUGGUUGAGUUAGAAUCCUAAUUGCGUAGGAAUUCUAAAGGGUCAACAAUCGUAGGUUGUGAGGGGAGCAUAUGCUCGAG